GACGAACGCUGGCGGCGUGCUUAACACAUGCCAGUCGAACGGAAAGGCCCUGCUUUUGUGGGGUUCUCGAGUGGCGAACGGGUGAGUAACACGUGAGUAUCCUGCCCUUGACUUUGGGAUAACUUCAGGAAACUGGGGCUAAUACCGGAUAGGAGCUCCUGCUGCGUGGGGGGGGUUGGAAAGUUUCGGCGGUUGGGGCUGGACUCGCAGCUUCUCCGCUUGUUUGUGGGGUAGUGGCUUACAAAGGCUUUGAAGGGUAGCCGGCCUGAGAGGGUGGCCGGCCACAUUGGGCCUGAGAUACGGCGCAGACGCCUACGGGAGGCAGCAGUGGGGAAUAUUGCACAAUGGGGGGAAGCCUGAUGCAGCAACGCCGCGUGCGGGAUGCCGGCCUUCGGGUUGUAAACCGCUUUCGCCUGUGACGAAGCGUGAGUGACGGUAAUGGGUCAAGAAGCACCGGCUAACUACGUG
RNAcentral lists this ribosomal RNA (468 nucleotides) under uncultured bacterium. Its description in RNAcentral is "partial 16S ribosomal RNA". It matches the Rfam family "Bacterial small subunit ribosomal RNA", at positions 28 to 507 of the family's 1533-position model. The record is from RNAcentral.